GGGGAGUUAGUAAAAUUAUUACAUAGCUUUGUCAAGGCUAAAUCACAGGUGAAAGCCCAGUACUCCCCA
This 69-nucleotide transfer RNA is filed under the name Atrichornis rufescens. Its description in RNAcentral is "tRNA-Asp". It matches the Rfam family "tRNA". From Rfam's summary of the family: Transfer RNA (tRNA) molecules are approximately 80 nucleotides in length. Their secondary structure includes four short double-helical elements and three loops (D, anti-codon, and T loops). The record is from RNAcentral. Lineage: Eukaryota; Metazoa; Chordata; Aves; Passeriformes; Menuridae.